RNAcentral lists this small nuclear RNA (130 nucleotides) under Rhinolophus ferrumequinum (greater horseshoe bat). RNAcentral's name for it is "U4 spliceosomal RNA (ENSRFEG00010019703.1)". It matches the Rfam family "U4 spliceosomal RNA". From Rfam's summary of the family: U4 small nuclear RNA (U4 snRNA) is a component of the major U2-dependent spliceosome. The structure of U4 snRNA from yeast and human has been reported. Lineage: Eukaryota; Metazoa; Chordata; Mammalia; Chiroptera; Rhinolophidae. The record is from Rfam by way of RNAcentral.
AGCUUUGCACAGUGGCAGUAUCAUACCCAAUGAGGUUUAUCCGAGGCGUGAUUACUGCUAAUUAAAAUUUACCUCAAUACCUUUGAUUUUUAGAAAAAUGAAACCAAGAAGUUAAGACUCCAAGAUGAGU